CCUACGGGAGGCAGCAGUGAGGAAUAUUGGUCAAUGGCCGUAAGGCUGAACCAGCCAAGUCGCGUGAAGGAAGAAGGAUCUAUGGUUUGUAAACUUCUUUUAUAGGGGAAUAAAGGUAUCCACGUGUGGAUGUUUGCAUGUACCCUAUGAAUAAGCAUCGGCUAACUCCGUGCCAGCAGCCGCGGUAAUACGGAGGAUGCGAGCGUUAUUCGGAUUUAUUGGGUUUAAAGGGUGCGUAGGUUGUUUUUUAAGUCAGCGGUGAAAGUUUGGGGCUCAACCCUAAAAUUGCCGUUGAAACUGGAAGACGUGAGUGUGUUUGAGGUGUGCGGAAUGCGUGGUGUAGCGGUGAAAUGCAUAGAUAUCACGCAGAACUCCGAUUGCGAAGGUAGCUUACUAAGCCAUAACUGACGCUGAAGCACGAAAGCGUGGGGAUCAAACAGGAUUAGAUACCCCAGUAGUC
This 460-nucleotide ribosomal RNA is filed under the name uncultured bacterium. RNAcentral describes it as "partial 16S ribosomal RNA". It matches the Rfam family "Bacterial small subunit ribosomal RNA", at positions 338 to 795 of the family's 1533-position model. The record is from RNAcentral.